AGAAUCAACGCUGGCGGCGUGCCUAACACAUGCAAGUCGAGCGAGAAAGUGGAGCAAUCCAUGAGUAAAGUGGCGCACGGGUGAGUAACACGUGACUAACCUACCCUGGAGUGGGGGAUAACUGAGGGAAACCUUAGCUAAUACCGCAUAACACCUACGGGUCAAAGGAGCAAUUCGCUUCAGGAGGGGGUCGCGGCCGAUUAGUUAGUUGGCGGGGUAAUGGCCCACCAAGACAGUGAUCGGUA
RNAcentral lists this ribosomal RNA (245 nucleotides) under uncultured bacterium. RNAcentral's name for it is "partial small subunit ribosomal RNA". It matches the Rfam family "Bacterial small subunit ribosomal RNA", at positions 26 to 285 of the family's 1533-position model. The record is from RNAcentral.